Molecule: non-coding RNA, 48 nt
Organism: Apaloderma vittatum (bar-tailed trogon)
Lineage: Eukaryota; Metazoa; Chordata; Aves; Trogoniformes; Trogonidae
Source: Rfam
CAAAAGGCUUUUCUCAAAGCCAGCUCUUUAUUUUCCUUAAAACAGUCU